RNAcentral lists this ribosomal RNA (600 nucleotides) under uncultured bacterium. RNAcentral describes it as "bacterial SSU rRNA". It matches the Rfam family "Bacterial small subunit ribosomal RNA", at positions 28 to 668 of the family's 1533-position model. The record is from RNAcentral.
GAUGAACGCUGGCGGUAUGCCUAACACAUGCAAGUCGUACGAGAGUUUUUAACUCAAGUGGCGGACGGGUGAGUAACACGUGAGAAUUUGCCUUUAGGAGGGGGACAACAGCUGGAAACGGUUGCUAAUACCCCAUAUGCUUCCGAGUGAAAUGAAUUUAUUCGCCUAAAGAGAAGCUCGCGGCUGAUUAGCUUGUUGGUAGGGUAAGAGCCUACCAAGGCGACGAUCAGUAUCUGGUUUGAGAGGACGAUCAGACACACUGGAACUGAGACACGGUCCAGACUCCUACGGGAGGCAGCAGUGGGGAAUUUUCCGCAAUGGGCGAAAGCCUGACGGAGCAAUACCGCGUGAGGGAAGACGGCCUAUGGGUUGUAAACCUCUUUUUUCAGGGAGGAAUAAUUGACGUGUACCUGAAGAAUAAGCAUCGGCUAACUCCGUGCCAGCAGCCGCGGUAAGACGGAGGAUGCAAGUGUUAUCCGGAAUCACUGGGCGUAAAGCGUCUGUAGGUUGUCGAACAAGUCAACUGUUAAAUCUUGAGGCUCAACUUCAAAAUCGCAGUCGAAACUGUUUGACUAGAGUAUAGUAGGGGUAAAGGGAAUU